AGGUCAAGUAGAAAAGGGCGCAUGGUGAAUGCCUAGGCACUAGAAGCCGAUGAAGGACGUGACGAACCACGAAAGGCUUCGGGGAGCAGUAAGUAAGCAAUGAUCCGGAGAUAUCCGAAUGGGGGAACCCAAUACCGCGAGGUAUUAUCAUUAGCUGUUAAGGCUAAUGAAGGAAGACGCAGUGAACUGAAACAUCUAAGUAGCUGCAGGAAGAGAAAGAAAAAUCGAUUUCCCAAGUAGCGGCGAGCGAACAGGAAAGAGCCCAAACCAGCUGGCUUGCCAGUUGGGGUAGUAGGACUGCGAUAUAGUACUUGAAGUGAUAGCAGAAUUAUCUGGAAAGAUAAGCCAGAGAGGGUGAAAGUCCCGUAAGCGAAAUUGCAGAGAGACUUAGCAGGAUCCUGAGUAGGUCGGGACACGAGGAAUCCCGAUUGAAACCGCGAGGACCAUCUCGCAAGGCUAAAUACUAACUAGUGACCGAUAGUGAACCAGUACCGUGAGGGAAAGGUGAAAAGAACCCCGGAAGGGGAGUGAAAAAGAACCUGAAACCGUGUGCCUACAAGUAGUCAGAGCACAUUAAAGUGUAAUGGCGUGCCUUUUGUAGAAUGAACCGGCGAGUUACGUUAUGGUGCAAGGUUAAGUCAGAAAAGACGGAGCCGGAGCGAAAGCGAGUCUGAAGAGGGCGAAAGAGUAUCAUGACGUAGACCCGAAACCAAGUGACCUACCCAUGACCAGGUUGAAGGCGUGGUAAAACACGCUGGAGGACCGAACCCACGUGAGUUAAAAAUCGCGGGGAUGAGUUGUGGGUAGCGGUGAAAUUCCAAACGAACUUGGAGAUAGCUGGUUCUCUCCGAAAUAGCUUUAGGGCUAGCCUCGUGUGAAUGAUAAUGGAGGUAGAGCGCUGUUUGGACUAGGGGCCCGUCAGGGGUUACUGAAUCCAGAUAAACUCCGAAUGCCAGAUAUCAAUGCACGGGAGUCAGACUGCGAGUGAUAAGAUCCGUAGUCGAAAGGGAAACAGCCCAGAUCACCAGUUAAGGUCCCCAAAUCUAUGCUAAGUGGAAAAGGAUGUGGAGUUGCGUAGACAACUAGGAUGUUGGCUUAGAAGCAGCCACCAUUUAAAGAGUGCGUAAUAGCUCACUAGUCGAGUGACGCUGCGCCGAAAAUGUACCGGGGCUAAGCAUAGUACCGAAACUGUGGAUGCAUAUAUUAUAUGCGUGGUAGGAGAGCGUUCUAAGUGCGGCGAAGUUAGAUCGAGAGGACUAAUGGAGCGCUUAGAAGUGAGAAUGCCGGUAUGAGUAGCGAAAGAUAGGUGAGAAUCCUAUCCGCCGAAAGACUAAGGUUUCCUGGGGCAGGCUCGUCCGCCCAGGGUAAGUCGGGACCUAAGGUAAGGCCGAGAGGCGUAGCCGAUGGACAACAGGUAGAGAUUCCUGUACUGAAAUUGUUCGAUAAGAGCAAAGGAGGGACGCAGGAGGCUAAUGACGCAUGUUGCUGGAAAUACAUGUGCAAGCAGUAAGAAAAAAGAUGAGUCAAAUGCUUGUCUUUAGAUUUCAAGCUGUGACGCGGAGCGAAAUAAAAGUAGCGAAGGUCAUGAUGUCACACUGCCAAGAAAAGCUUCUAGCCAGAACAAUUUUACCCGUACCGCAAACCGACACAGGUAGUCGAGUGGAGAACACUCAGGUGAGCGAGAGAACUCUCGUUAAGGAACUCGGCAAAAUGACCCCGUAACUUCGGGAGAAGGGGUGCUGAUAGUAAAAUAUCAGCCGCAGUGAAUAGGCCCAAACAACUGUUUAUCAAAAACACAGGUAUCUGCAAAAUCGUAAGAUGACGUAUAGGUGCUGACACCUGCCCGGUGCUGGAAGGUUAAGAGGAGAGCUUAGCGAAAGCGAAGGUUUGAAUUGAAGCCCCAGUAAACGGCGGCCGUAACUAUAACGGUCCUAAGGUAGCGAAAUUCCUUGUCGGGUAAGUUCCG
Molecule: ribosomal RNA, 1966 nt
Filed under: Bacillus aerius
Lineage: Bacteria; Bacillati; Bacillota; Bacilli; Caryophanales; Bacillaceae
Description: bacterial LSU rRNA
Rfam family: Bacterial large subunit ribosomal RNA
Source: RNAcentral